This 492-nucleotide ribosomal RNA is filed under the name uncultured bacterium. RNAcentral's name for it is "partial 16S ribosomal RNA". It matches the Rfam family "Bacterial small subunit ribosomal RNA", at positions 29 to 507 of the family's 1533-position model. The record is from RNAcentral.
AGUGAACGCUGGCGGUAGGCCUAACACAUGCAAGUCGAACGGCAGCACAGUAAGAGCUUGCUCUUACGGGUGGCGAGUGGCGGACGGGUGAGGAAUACAUCGGAAUCUACUUUUUCGUGGGGGAUAACGUAGGGAAACUUCCGCUAAUACCGCAUACGACCUACGGGUGAAAGCAGUGGAUCUUCGCACCUUUCCCGUUUGAUUUAGCCGAUGCCGGAUUAGCUAGUUGGCGGGGUAAGGGCCCACCAAGGCAACGAUGCGUAGCCGGUCUGAGAGGAUGAUCGGCCACACUGGAACUGAGACACGGUCCAGACUCCUACGGGAGGCAGCAGUGGGGAAUAUUCCGCAAUGGGCGAAAGCCUGACGGAGCAAUACCGCGUGGGUGAAGAAGGCCUUCGGGUUGUAAAACCCUUUUAUUAGGAAAGAAAAGCAGCAGAAGAAUAUACGGAUGUUCUGACGGUACCCAAAGAAUAAGCAACGGCUAACUACGUG